UGGGGAAUAUUGCACAAUGGGCGCAAGCCUGAUGCAGCGACGCCGCGUGAGCGAAGAAGGCUUUCGAGUCGUAAAGCUCUGUCCUAUGAGAAGAUAAUGACGGUAUCAUAGGAGGAAGCCCUGGCUAAAUACGUGCCAGCAGCCGCGGUAAUACGUAUGGGGCGAGCGUUGUCCGGAAUUAUUGGGCGUAAAGGGUACGUAGGCGGUUUUUUAAGUCAGGUGUCAAAGCGUGGAGCUUAACUCCAUUAAGCACUUGAAACUGAAAGACUUGAGUGAAGGAGAGGAAAGUGGAAUUCCUAGUGUAGCGGUGAAAUGCGUAGAUAUUAGGAGGAAUACCGGUGGCGAAGGCGACUUUCUGGACUUUUACUGACGCUCAGGUACGAAAGCGUGGGGAGCAAACAGG
RNAcentral lists this ribosomal RNA (403 nucleotides) under Verrucomicrobiota bacterium. RNAcentral's name for it is "Verrucomicrobia bacterium partial 16S ribosomal RNA". It matches the Rfam family "Bacterial small subunit ribosomal RNA", at positions 355 to 776 of the family's 1533-position model. Lineage: Bacteria; Pseudomonadati; Verrucomicrobiota. The record is from RNAcentral.